Molecule: non-coding RNA, 67 nt
Organism: Lingula anatina
Lineage: Eukaryota; Metazoa; Brachiopoda; Lingulata; Lingulida; Lingulidae
Source: Rfam
CUGUUCGUUUAAGGGGCUGUGAAAUGUUGAGUUGUUUUCAUAUCACAGCCCGCUUUGACGAGCUAGA